Molecule: long non-coding RNA, 499 nt
Organism: Salvelinus sp. IW2-2015
Lineage: Eukaryota; Metazoa; Chordata; Actinopteri; Salmoniformes; Salmonidae
Source: RefSeq, a predicted model, not a curated record
UUGUGGCUAAUAUAGAAACAAUUGCCUGACUUGAGAGACUAGCAUUUACCUGUACAUCAUGAUUAUCUCUAUAAAACCUCUUAGCGACUUGCUGCUGCCGGAGUCUGCAAGGUUUUCUUACCAGAAAGUGUGUUUGUUGUGCAGGCCUUCUGCAUCCAGGGGAUCUGCUGGUGGAGGUGAAUGGGAACCCUGUAGAAGGACUGGACCCAGAACAGGUCAUACAGAUACUGGUCCAAUCUCAAGGCACAAUUUUGUUCAAAGUGAUUCCAAACACCCCACAAUCAACUAAGAGCCAACAGCCAGCCUUGCUGUAUGUGCGGGCCAUGGCAGACUACUGCCCCCUGCAGGACCCAGCUAUCCCCUGUCCUGACGCUGGCAUGGUCUUCAGUAGAGGAGACCUGCUGGAGAUAGUUGACCAGACAGACAUCCACUGGUGGCAGGCAAGGAAGCUGCCCAGUGCCUCAGCCUGCGCCGGCCUCAUCCCCUCCACCAGUCUGCU